This 74-nucleotide transfer RNA is filed under the name Cordylochernes scorpioides. RNAcentral describes it as "tRNA-Thr". It matches the Rfam family "tRNA". From Rfam's summary of the family: Transfer RNA (tRNA) molecules are approximately 80 nucleotides in length. Their secondary structure includes four short double-helical elements and three loops (D, anti-codon, and T loops). Lineage: Eukaryota; Metazoa; Arthropoda; Arachnida; Pseudoscorpiones; Chernetidae. The record is from RNAcentral.
UCCAGGGUAGCCUAGAGGACAUGGGAUCUGCCCGGUAAGCGGAACACUGUUGGGUUCGAUUCCCAUCCCUGGAC